UACGUAGGGUGCAAGCGUUGUCCGGAAUUAUUGGGCGUAAAGAGCGCGUAGGCGGUCUUGUAAGUCAGCUGUGAAAGCCCGGGGCUCAACCCCGGAGGGUCGGCUGAUACUGCAGGACUAGAGUACGGAAGAGGUAGCUGGAAUUCCUGGUGUAGCGGUGAAGUGCUUAGAUAUCAGGAGGAACACCAGUGGCGAAGGCGGUGUUCUGGGCCAGUACUGACGCUGAGGCGCGAAGGCCAGGGGAGCAAACGGG
RNAcentral lists this ribosomal RNA (253 nucleotides) under uncultured bacterium. Its description in RNAcentral is "partial 16S ribosomal RNA". It matches the Rfam family "Bacterial small subunit ribosomal RNA", at positions 524 to 776 of the family's 1533-position model. The record is from RNAcentral.